Molecule: ribosomal RNA, 468 nt
Filed under: uncultured bacterium
Lineage: Bacteria
Description: partial 16S ribosomal RNA
Rfam family: Bacterial small subunit ribosomal RNA
Source: RNAcentral
GACGAACGCUGGCGGCGUGCUUAACACAUGCAAGUCGAACGGAAAGGCCCUGCACUUGUGCGGAGCGCGAGUGGCGAACGGGUGAGUGUCACGUGAGUAACCUGCCCUUGACUUUGGGAGACCUCAAGGAAACAGGGGUGCAUACCCGAUAUGAGCUCCUGCAGCACGGUGUGGGUGGGAAAGAGGCGGCGUUUCGGGACGGACGCGCGGUAUAUCAGCUUGUUGGUGGGGUAGUGGAUUACCCAGGCACUGACGGGAAGCCGGACUGGGAGGGUGACAGGGCCCAUUCGGCCUGAGGUGCGGCCCGGAGUCCUACGGGAGGAAGGAGUGGGGGAUAUUGCAAGAUGGGCGGAAGCAUGAUGCAGCAACGCCGCGUGCGGGAUGACGGUCUUCAGGGUGUAACCCGCGUUAGCGUGUGACGAAGCGCGAGUGACGGUAAUGGGUAAAGAAGCAACGGCUAACUACGUG